AUCUCAGCACUGCUUUAGCUCAUAGAUUUUCAUACGUUCUUCAGCAGUCAGCAAUUUUGGUUUUGAUUUCUUCUUUGACCAAAGAUGUGUUUGAGAGAGCUUUUUGAUUUCUCACUGGCAGUUUCUGUUUUUACUUCCCAGAUAAUAUUAUUCCUUACUAGUUUUAUUGGUUUUUGUUCAGAGAAUGUUGUCUUUUCUAUCUACUUUUUUGGAGUUUUACUUAUAAAUUUAUUAAUUUGCUUUGUGACUAAAUAUAUGAGUGAUUUUUGUGAAUGUUCCAUGAGUGUUUGUAAAGGACAUGCAUUUUAUUUUUCAGGUUUUAGUGGGGUUUUGUGUGUGUUGUGUGUGUGUGUGUCUUAACUUAGUUUUUGUUCACUUGAUCAAAGAAAAGUGAAAUAAAAUCUCCAAUAUUAAUGUCUAUCUGUCUAAUUCUCCUUGCAUUUCCUAGUCUUCUCUUUAUGAAUGUUGAUACGUUAUUUGGUAUACAGACUUUGUGACUGUUAGAGCUUCCUUCUAUAUUAUACCCUUUUAGAUAGUUUGUCUUGUUAAAUGCUUUUGAUUGGAUUCAGGGCAGGCCACCUCAAGAUGCACCACCCUGGUAUGUGAAUUAUUUCGAGCUGAAGACAAUAAAGCCUCAGAAGACUCACGAAGAACGUUUGACCUUCCCCUAAUCUACCUAAAAGAAUUUAACGUGGAAGUUCGGCGACUUGGAUGGGAUAACAUUUCACUGACUGGACUCUGCUCGCUCCUGGCCUACUUCAGCUGAGAGAUCCUGGACCCCUGACAAGAGCCGGCAGGAGAGAGAUUCACGGAAAGGACUUUGACAUUUACUCUGGAAUGCAGCUUUCUGAUAAAGUUUCAGAUUGUAAAACGGAAUUGGAGACCGAGCGAGAGGAGACCUCGCUGGCCUCGGCUGGAGAGGGACGCUGUUCCAGGCACAUUACUGCGUGUAUGAUCAGCAGCCGUGAACGUGUCCAG
RNAcentral lists this long non-coding RNA (978 nucleotides) under Equus asinus (donkey). RNAcentral's name for it is "lncRNA (ENSEASG00005037789.1)". Lineage: Eukaryota; Metazoa; Chordata; Mammalia; Perissodactyla; Equidae. The record is from RNAcentral.